ACACAGGAAGUGGACUUUUAAACAAGAACCAUGAAGAAAACAAAGAACAGUGCACAAACAGAGUGCAAUCUGCUUUUCUUCUACUAACAAUGUGUCCAGAGAUGAUCUUUCAGAUGAUGCUGCAGAUCUCCACAGUAACCUUCCCAAACAACAACUGGAGAAGGAGGAGGAUGGCCUUCCUGCAAAGGAGGCAGGAGUGAGAGGGAGACGACUGAAAGAUGAUGCAGCAGAUGGGCAACCUGCAAAACGACUUCCAGACACACGAGGACCCUUCAUUCCUGAAUGGGAGGAGUGGGAGUGCAGUGUGCCAGUGUGUCCACCCAUGUGCUGUGGAUGUUUAUGGACAUGGUGAGACUGGCUGACAGACUGGUUUCAACAUCACACAAAGAGUAAGUAAGUCAUCAUUUCCUUGGGAGAAAAUGCUGCAGGAGCUGCUCUGUACUUGGUAACAUUCAAGCUCUGUUAACCAAGAGGCUGCCACGCUGAGCAGAGUAUGCCAGACUAACCUGCCUGAUCAUGUGAAUCUGGAGGUGCAUCAAACUGUAUUAUGGAAGUUUUUCAGGAAACAACAUCCUGAUGGUGGAGAUCUUCUAAGAUAGGAGAAAUCCUGACAGAGGAGGAGAGUCCAACAAAAUGGCUGCGUGCUUUCCAGCAGAGGAGAGACUGAGAGAGCUGACCAAUCAGAGGAAGGAGAAGGCUCAGCACCUCUGAUAACUGCACACUGAGGCUCAGACCCCAGUGCUGACUGCUAACACUGCACAGAGUCUUGGAGCUCAAUCUUAGACACACCCAGCCUGCUCCUCCAGCUGUCAGCACCACACAGGUAAUGGGGAGAUUUCCUGCCCCAACUGAUCCUAAUGCACUAACUGAAUCUGCUGUGCCUGGUAUACACAUGCAGGUUAAUCAAGGUGACAAUCCAGACUUGUACACCUGUGGGAGAGAAGGGAGGCAGAUAAGAGGCAGAGUGACCUGGCAUGGAGGAAGGAGAGGAGGACCAUCACAGCCAGUACAUCCACUUGGACUCGCUUCAGCCUACUCAAAGGAAUAACCUGCCUAGAGGUAACAUCAUAUGUUGUGGGUGUGGCCAGACAGGUAACCUCCAGAGAGACUGCCCUAUAAACCUUUGGGCUGGGCCAACAACAUGUUGGCCAUAAAGGUGUAUGGAGAAGCCUGAGAAAAAGGAGCGACCUGCUGUAUCCUUUAAUUAUGAUUGAUACAGGGGACACCUACUCAUGCACUGUAACUGAGGGAGGAGGACUCCCCUCGUCUUCAUCGUCUGUGAACACCUUUGGCUUCUCUGGAAAAACGCAAGUGAUCCGUCAACCCAGAUGAUUCCAGAUGAGGGUGGCAGGUAAAGCUAUUGUCUCACAAUUAUUGUACCCAACUAACACUUCAAUAAAUCUCAUGGGAGGAGACAUCCUGUGUCCUAUAGAGCAAAAUCACGCGCACCACUGAUGAACUGUAUGCAGAUUUUCAAAGGAGGAAGUAUGAAGGUGCAAACAAACACAGAGACUGUGUCUCAGAUUCAACCUAAAGUGUUUUGGUGGCAGCCAAGGACUGAACACUCCAAGCUGAACGAACGAUGGGAAAUGUGAGUUUUGGAUACGAAGGAGGCUGAGAAGCUGAGGAACACUGAUAGCUCAAAGUUUGUUGUUUGAUGAAACAGGAUUUAAAGACCAUGAACUGAGCUUUGAUGAAUUGAUUAAUAAAAGAAGAUUUUUUCUUUUUGUUAAUGAUAAAUCUACAUUGCUCCACAGGACGUGGCUGCUGCUGUUAUUCUGCCCAUGAACUAAAAGACUGAGAACAAGGCCCAAAUGCUGAACCUCAUGUCAUUCUGCUGUUUGCUCGUGGACAGGCUCUCAUGUACGAGGGUUUAGGAAGACAAUGCUUAUCUUAGAGGGGAUCUCACAAACAAUAAAUGCAUGCUCAUUUCUAAAAACACAGUGGAGUAGGAUUUCAAUAAAGGGUAGUGACUAAAGUGUCAGUAAAUAAACAUGUUUAAGCCAAAUUUAAUAAAUAGUUGGAUAUGAUUAGUCGUUGAAACAGGUUCCAUCUCAACUGAGCAAAACAAAUGUGGGAGGGGUCAAGUUUACCCAGCCUGAUACGGUUGAGCUGAAACCUGGGAUCAAAUUACCUUAUUAUAUUAGACAAUAUUCACUUAAGUCACAUGCCAUUGAAGCUACCAGGCUUAAUUCUGAUGAGCUAUUGGAGGCUGGCAGGAUAAUUAAAGCUACCAGUCCAUGUAAUACGCCUAUUUAUCCUACAUUGAAACCAAAUUUCGAUAGUCCUCUAAAUGUGUUUUUCUGACACAUCUGUGGUUCCUGAUCCAUAACUCUGCUUUCUAACUGUGCACCAGGUUUAAGUGGUACGUAGCUUUUAGCAUUCUGGGAUAACUGUAAAAACUGAUUAACAGCCCUGGUGCCUUUAACCAAAUUUUAGUGUAAGAUUUGCAGUAUCUGAAUAUUCUCAGUGCUGUCUCACAGUGUGCAGCUGAUUUAUAGUCCUCUAAAAGAACAAAAUGAGGAGAAUUCUUGAAAUUCUGUCAACAAACCACUGAAUAUGUAGGAAGACAGUUUAGUGGACAGAGAAAGCUAACGGCUAAUUAGAAACUGUGUUUAAAACCCAAAAAUCGUAAACGGUUGGCUAAUGUUGACAUUUUUCGGGAAGGGCAGGAUUCAGCAGACGGUGGAUUUGUGAAAGUGUGUUUAAAACUGGAUCUCUGCUGCUUCAAUAAUGGCAGCAGGACAAACUAACUCUGAUCCUUAGUUGCAGUGGUCGAUGGGAGCUGAGGCGACAUCUGUUGCACUGGAGCAGGACACAAUCUGACCUGGCAUUGGGUAAUCAGAUUACUCAAAGCCUUUCCAUCUAUAAGAGGCUAAUAGGAGGGGCUAUGUAAUGCUGUCCUUAUGCAGGACACCCCAGGAGGUGUAAAUUUUUCCACUCUAGAAGCUCAGAAGGUUGAUCUGCUGAGUUCAUCAGUGAUCUCAGAACAGAAAGCUUUAACAGCUUGUAGACCGGCUACAGGUCCAGGUGAGGUCUUCACUGAUGUGGGUGCCAAGGAAUUUGAAGGUCUUCACUCUCUCCACCUGAGUCCCGUUGAUGAAUAAUGGAGCAUGCUGGUCUCUUCUCUUCCUCGGGUCAAAAAUCAUCUCCUUAGUCUUCUCUGUAUUUAAGGAGAGAUGCUGAGAACUCCAAGCUUAAGAUCUUCAUUAGCCUUUUCAGAUCAUCAAGGAGGGGGGACAGACAAAACAGAGGAUGAGGCCCCGACCUCCACCACCUGAAGAAGCUGUAACAUCAUAAGGACUGAGUGAUGAUUCCAAAGAUGAUCAUGUUGUCCUGAAAUCUGACCUGUCCUACACUGAGUGUCUAGUUAUUACUGCAUUUGUACCAAGUUUUUAUAUCAUGUAUUCUUGUACCCAGUAUUUUUUCAAUUUAUAUAUUAAAUAUUUAGUGGCUCAUAUUUCUCACAUUUUAUAUAUCAUAUGCAACGAGUAUUUUAUCAAGUAGUCUGUACCCAAAGCCUUAUGCUUUGUGCCAAAGAGUUUCUGUUACCUAUUUUUGUGGUUAUGUAGUUUCUGAAGCUUGCUAAAAAGUAUUUUAACCAAACAAAGCUCACGCAGUAGUUUUGAGGUUCACCGUGUUUGUCAAAAUUGACUGAGCAGACUACACCAGGAUCUGCCUCAUACAGGGCCCUCAUAUUCUGUAGGUGAUACCCUAAGAAGGGUAUCAAGGGGGGAAUGUUGGGAUUUAUUUUUAUCAACCAUACUGACAUUUAAAGUUAUUAUUCCUACUUCUGUUUAUUUGCAGCUAAACUGCUUUCCACAAUGUAAUAAAUGCAUAUUGUGUAGCAGGAAAAUUUGAGGCCUGUUUGAGUUGCUCUUAUUUGUGUUCAGGGCCCUAGAAGCUCUGCUUCCCCUCCCUAUCAGUCUGCUGUGGCCCAGCAGGCCCUCUCAGACUAUCCUCAGAGCAUACUCAUCUUCUGCCCUAGCCCCGUGAUGAACCUGUUGCUCAUUAAAUUCAUGCUAAGCGGUCUCAACUCAUAAAACUGCCCGAUUUUGGGUUCGUGUACAGGACACCAGUCAUCCUGUUUGCCCAUUUUUUGAUUUAUACUGGAUAUAGGGAUAAUUCUGUCCAGUGGACCUAGCUGAAGGCUAACUUGCUUGUGUAGCACGGCCAAAAACUUUGGAAAUGCAAAUCAAGAAAGUAUAAAGCUGUCCAUGCAACAGGUCCGGGGGCAAAAUGGGCCUCAUUUUCGUCCUCAUAUCUGGUCCUUCUCCCUCAUAUCUGGUCAAGCAUAUGUGUGAGGGGUUGUAAAUCCUUCUCCAAGAGUGCCUUAGGAUGGCCUCAAGGAGGUUGUGCCUGACAAUUACUGUGAUGAAUUUUUCUUACUGUCUUGUUGAUGUAUUGAAAAUGCUCCGGGAUGUUUGUGCCCUUUCAGAUAAUGACAGUAGAAUUAAUGGCAGUUUCUAAUGAAAGUUUGCAAAGUGCAGACUCAGCACAAAUCGUAGACAAUGAAAGGGAAAGAGUAUAAAUACCACAGUUAGAAGAGGAGAGGGGGAAGAAGAGAAGAUGUAGCGACUGUCUUUGUCCGUGUUGUCCGUUUUUCCAGCAACUACUAAGGCACAACCUCCUGGGAAGGCUUCUUGCUUUUACCUUUUUGCUUUAUGUUCUUUGUUUUUUGUGUUUGUAUAUUUCUAAGUACUAGUAACUUUUUGCAACAGAGCUUGCUCAUCGCCAUGGAUCAUUUGGACAGUUUGAUUUUAUUUAGACUCAUACUUAAUCCCUGCACGGGCUCUCCUCGGUCGGAGGGAGUGAUGAGGAAGCCGGGGCAUGAUCAACAGGUUCUUUCUUCUUUUCUGUUACUCUGUGUGUGUAUCUCAGUCUUCAUAUGCUACUGUCUGUCUUUUUAACUAUUUGUGUGCUACUAAGAUGU
This is a long non-coding RNA of Archocentrus centrarchus (flier cichlid), 4933 nucleotides long. RefSeq lists it as uncharacterized. The transcript is spliced from 3 exons. The record is from RefSeq and is a predicted model, not a curated record. Lineage: Eukaryota; Metazoa; Chordata; Actinopteri; Cichliformes; Cichlidae.